ACGAACGCUGGCGGCGUGCUUAACCCAUGCAAGUCGAACGGAAAGGCCCUGCUUUUGUGGGGUGCUCGAGUGGCGAACGGGUGAGUAACACGUGAGUAACCUGCCCUUGACUUUGGGAUAACUUCAGGAAACUGGGGCUAAUACCGGAUAGGAGCUCCUGCUGCAUGGUGGGGGUUGGAAAGUUUCGGCGGUUGGGGAUGGACUCGCGGCUUAUCAGCUUGUUGGUGGGGUAGUGGCUUACCAAGGCUUUGACGGGCAGCCGGCCUGAGAGGGUGACCGGCCACAUUGGGACUGAGAUACGGCCCAGACUCCUACGGGAGGCAGCAGUGGGGAAUAUUGCACAAUGGGCGGAAGCCUGAUGCAGCAACGCCGCGUGCGGGAUGACGGCCUUCGGGUUGUAAACCGCUUUCGCCUGUGACGAAGCGUGAGUGACGGUAAUGGGUAAAGAAGCACCGGCUAACUACGUG
Molecule: ribosomal RNA, 467 nt
Filed under: uncultured bacterium
Lineage: Bacteria
Description: partial 16S ribosomal RNA
Rfam family: Bacterial small subunit ribosomal RNA
Source: RNAcentral